GGCGAACGCUGGCGGCAGGCCUAACACAUGCAAGUCGAACGAACCUUUCGGGGUUAGUGGCGGACGGGUGAGUAACACGUGGGAACGUGCCUUUAGGUUCGGAAUAACUCAGGGAAACUUGUGCUAAUACCGAAUGUGCCCUUCGGGGGAAAGAUUUAUCGCCUUUAGAGCGGCCCGCGUCUGAUUAGCUAGUUGGUUGAGGUAAUGGCUCACCAAGGCGACGAUCAGUAGCUGGUCUGAGAGGAUGAUCAGCCACAUUGGGACUGAGACACGGCCCAAACUCCUACGGGAGGCAGCAGUGGGGAAUCUUGCGCAAUGGGCGAAAGCCUGACGCAGCCAUGCCGCGUGAAUGAUGAAGGUCUUAGGAUUGUAAAAUUCUUUCACCGGGGACGAUAAUGACGGUACCCGGAGAAGAAGCCCCGGCUAACUUCG
This 432-nucleotide ribosomal RNA is filed under the name uncultured bacterium. Its description in RNAcentral is "partial 16S ribosomal RNA". It matches the Rfam family "Bacterial small subunit ribosomal RNA", at positions 28 to 505 of the family's 1533-position model. The record is from RNAcentral.